CUUUUGGGGUUCUGGGAUACCCGGAUGUAGGGAGGCGUUCUAGUCGCUUCCUUUCUCUCUCUCCCUCUCUCGCACGGCUGCUCAGCGCCGGCCGGGUGUCAUGAGGAACCGACGCGAGGGUCGCUGACGCUGUGUUGAGCGGCGCGCGCGCGCGCGGAGAAAGCGACUUUGUCCCUGCGCGGCAGCUUCUCCCGCACCUGCCCCCGCCUCUGCGCUCGCCUCUCCGUCGUCCCGAAACAGCUCGUGCUGCGGGCGGGCAGCUCGUUCCGUUCGCCUCUACCUCAACGUCCCAGAGGAAAUAUGUAAUGAUCUCUUUGGAUGCAAAUUUGUAAGGAAUGUGUUUUUCACAGAUCAGUACAUUUCUUCUACUGAGACAGAGUUCACUUACAAAACAGUACCUAAAUGGCAGCACAGAAAAGAAAAUCUGUGCUAGUAGAACCUCCAGCUAAGCAUCGGAAAGUGGAUAAGAAUAGUAAAUCAGUAACAACUAGCAAAGAAAGGAUAUUGCUUGAUGGCAAACAUGUAUCAAAUAAAAAGACAGUGUUGAAGAAAAAUAUGUGCAAAAUUGCUUCCAAAACUAACAGGUCACCUGUCAAUAAAUCCAUACAUAGAUCAUCUCAACCAUCUUCUCAAAUUAAACAAGCUCAAAAGCACUCCAAACCGACUUCAAAUGAAUUAAAGAAGAAAACAUGCAAAACAGUACAUGUGAAAAAAACAUCUUUAAAGUCUUUAGGUAAAUUAACUCCUACAAAAACAUCCCUAAAAACUUCUAAAACAAGCCAUACAAAAUACACAAACUCCUCCAAAACCUGUACUAGAGCUAAAGGAAAACCCAGUGUUGUCAAAAGUAAGACUUCUCAUGAAAGCAAGAAACAGAAGUCAUCUGCAGAAACAGUAAAGUGUUUUGCUGAAGCUAUAUGUAAUAGAUAUUCAGCAAAGUGCAAUAAAUCUACACAUAAGACCCGGUGUUCUGAAACAAAACAAAUAAAAAAUAAUUCAAAAAAGGAUAGAAAAGCUAAAACUGGAAAAUAUCUUAAAGGAAGCAGUGUUAGCUUAGAAGUUCAGAAUUCAAAAAAUCCUUGUGCAAAAAAGCCAGUGCUGCAAAAUCCUGGACCAAAACAGAGUAAAAUUUUCAGUGACAAAAAAUCUUGUGAUUCUGACCAGGGAAAAAUAACCACAAGGUCAAUGAGAACUAAUUCUAACAAAAGUCCUGUCGAUACACAAGAGCAGUUUCAUUUCACAAAAACUAGGGAAGUAUCUCAGAAGGAGAUGAUACAGGAUCUUAAUAAGUUGCAACAUAUUGUUUCACAUGAUGAGUAUCAAACCAGAAAAUCACCAAGACUGCAGCAAUCAUCAGUUGUGUCUACAAUAUCCUUGCGCAGUAAAAAAAUUAAAGAAGAACAUGCUUCUACAAAACAAUGUAUCCAGAUGAAAAGACAGAGUGGAUGUAUAAAAAAUGAAAAGAUGGUACAUUUUGAGCAGAAAAAAGAAGAUAAGCCCUUGAAAAAGGAUGAAUAUACAAAUCAAGAACAAAAAAUAAUAAGUAUUGAAAAAAUGGGUUCUCUGAAGGAAAAAAAAUGUGAAACAGAUUCUAAAAUUAAUGAUUUGACUGUUUCUCAAGAUAAGAUAAGUGAAUCAAGAAACCUUGAUUGCAUUCUUCAAGAAUCCGGGAAUGAAGCUAUCAACACAAUUGCCUGCUCUAUGACAUCAUCUUGCAAUGUAAUAAGUAAGGAAAAGAAAUCAGUACACAAAAAUGGGAAAAUCAGUGUAAAAGCUAAGAGAACUUUGCAGGCUCCAUUGAAUAUAAAACCUGCUUAUCAACCAGAGGAUAUGAUGAAGUCCAAAAAGAUUAGCAUCCUUGAGCUAUGUGAGGAAAUUGCAGGUGAGAUUGAGUCAGACACAGUGGAGGUAAAAAGAGAUUCUCCUAAUGCUGAAUAUGGAAAAGAGGGAGAAAGAGAUACAGUAGUGGAUUUGCCAAAGACUACAAUAUCUACUGAUGAGCAAACGAAACAGAACUCCCAAUGUAAGCGAUUUUUCCCUAGCAAAAAAGGAAUGCCUGUCAAAUGUACUGUGAAUGGCAGACAUAACACUACAAACAAAAACUCUAAAUGGACCAAAAUAAAAUUAAAAAAGGUUAAUCAUAUGAACCAAACUCUUUCAAAUUGUGCAAAUACUCCAGAACAUGCUUUUUUAAAGAGCAGCAUUCCAGAAGGAGGGCAAGCAAGAGCUGUAGAAAUAUACCUUCCAGAAACUCAAAGGAAAUUGAUACAAUCACAAAACAAUGGUAAAACAACUUAUGACCAGAAGUUGAAUACAGCUUGCUUGGAAGAAAUGCAGACUAAAGAUAGGAUAUCACCUGUUCAACAGUCCACUGUAAAAGCUGUAGAAAAUGGCUUGUUUGAGACAAAACAGUGUUCUGAGUCAACACCAGAUGAGAGCUUCGACUUACAUUUGGACUCAAGUCCCGAAAAUACACCAAUGAAAAUAGUUACAGCACAUCUUCCAGUGAAGGAAAUAAAAAAAGAUACAACAGAAAUGAAAUCACAAGGUCCAGGUCCCCAACAGUUGGUUCAGACUUUAUUUUCAAAUAAAAUCCCUGACACAAAUGAAAGCAGGGCAGAUUCUCCAAAGAUUUCAUUAGUAUCGAAAUGUGAUGGUCAACUUUCGUCUGAAGAAAAUAUUAAAAAAUUAAAAGAAGGAACAAAAGAUAGUGAUAAACAACUAAUCAUAGAUGCAGGGCAAAAAAGAUUUGGUGCAAUUUCCUGCAGUGUUUGUGGGAUGCUUUACACAGCUUCAAAUCCUGAGGAUGAAACUCAGCACCUGCUCUUUCACAACCAAUUUAUAAGUGCUGUAAAAUACGUGGGCUGGAAAAAAGAACGAAUUUUGGCCGAGUUUCCUGAUGGCAAGAUAAUAAUGGUACUUCCUGAUGAUCCAAAAUAUGCACUAAGAAAGGUUGAUGAAAUCAGGGAGAUGGUAGAUAACGACCUGGGAUUUCAGCAAGCUCCUCUUACAUGCUCCAGAACUAAGACUCUAUUAUUUAUUUCUAAUGAUAAAAAAGUAACUGGCUGCUUAAUUGCAGAACAUAUCCAGUGGGGAUAUAGAGUUAUUGAAGAAAAGAUUCCAGAAAUUAGUUCGGAAAAUGAGAAAGUCACCUUUGAAAGACAAAAGGCUUGGUGCUGUUCAACAUCUCCUGAGCCUGCUAUUUGUGGUAUUAGUCGCAUCUGGGUGUUUAGCAUGAUGCGAAGGAAGAAAAUUGCUUCCCGGAUGUUAGAAUGCCUGAGUUUCAAGGAUCAUCUAUAUGGUAGUGACAUGUGGAACAAGCAACUGGAAUGUUUCAGAAAAAUACCUGUAUAUAUCACUGUAUAAGGAGAUUCAAAUAUAAGACAAGGUCAUCUACCCAUGGGUUUCUGGAUGAUACUUAAAAUCCAACUGGCAACUUACAGAGAUCAAAAGAAGAGUCCGCAUGGUGCUGUCGAGCCGUGGUCCACUGCCUGUAGUACAAAGACUGCUCUUCACUGGUCAUGUCCUUAUGCAGCAAAGGCCUCAGAGAGCUCACCCAAGAAACAUCAGCAUGAGGUAAGAAAUUCUAUUGAGAGGGAACUCUGAAGGCUCUUCUCUGGGUGAAUUCUGACUGGCUCAUAAGGUUCAUAUAGAAGCAGCAGAAGUGCUUCAUUGAAUGAUCUCAGUGACUGAGAAAGCUGGCAGUUGAUAUCCCAACAUGUCUGAAAUUGCUGUGACCUAAGAGUGAACUUUACUUUGGAAACAAUGGAAACUGGAUUUCACGGGAUAAAUUUAUCAGAGAAAAAAAACCCAACAAAACAUGGCAAACUCCACACACACAAAUGAAAACAAGAAAAAACAGAAGGCAAAGGGAAGCAACUUUACCAAAAAGAUCUGCCACACUGAUAAACCCUGGAGAUAACACAACACUUUAAGAACAACCCUUGGAUUGGCAGGAGAGGAAGGAAAGAGAGGUGGAGAGCUGAGCAUUUGCCAGCUGGAAUAAUCAAGUCAAAGAAUGGACAUGAGAACAUCUAAUUUGCAAAAAAGGCUGACCUGACUAAAGAAUGCUCAAACAUUUUGAGAAUGAAUAGAAAGAGGAAGUGGAGCCAAGGAAAUUGGAAAGGUGCUUCCAUCUUUCAGAAUGACUCACAGGUGGAUCAAUCAAGUCACUAUUGAAGUAGAGGCCUUUAAUAGGUAGGUGUGUCCUACCUUGUUGACAGAUGUUAUUCAAGAUAAUAUCCAUGCCAAAGAUACAGUCCAGAAGUGUUCUUCUGACAAUUCUCAUUAUGGCCAUACUGGCUAGGAAUGAUG
This is an RNA transcript of Varanus komodoensis (Komodo dragon), 4314 nucleotides long. It is a transcript of the gene named establishment of sister chromatid cohesion N-acetyltransferase 1, with no coding region annotated. The record is from RefSeq and is a predicted model, not a curated record. NCBI's taxonomy places the organism in Eukaryota, Metazoa, Chordata, Lepidosauria, Squamata, Varanidae. The transcript has 15 exons.